UAUCCUGAGAAUGAACCCCAACCCUGAGUGCUGCCUUGUCUUAGAGGAGAGUUGUAUCACUGGGCCUGAGACAAACCUGUUCCCUUGGCUUUUGUUUUCUGGAAGCCGCGUUCCCUGAGAGAAUUUCCAUAGAGAGGAGGAGGGAGAAAUGAGAACCCCUGAACCAGGAAUGUGGCUCUGCCCCCUGGAGCCACGCCAAAGGUAGGACUGCCUGGGCACAAGAGAUCUUUCUGAGAUGAUGAAACUGUUCCGAAAUUGGAUUAUGGUAGGCCUGGGACCCUUGCCUCACUUCCUCACUGUGCUCCAGGUAAGUGACAGGUGGUAAUGGAGGAGUGCAGCUGGGAGGCAGAUCCAAGGCAUAGAGUUCCCUCCCUGGGAAAAGAAUCCACCACCCCAGAGGUGUUCCCAAAGCAGCAUAUCCACCAGCCUUCAAGGACCCGCACCAGCUCGGACCACAACUACAUCUCAGCUAUCAUCAGAGGCAUCCAAGGCUAGAAGGACCACCCCAUAUAUUUUGUUCAGAGAGCUCAUCCGGAGAGUGCACUUUGAUUGGAGGAGAGGGAAGUUAUUUAGGGCUGCUGGGCCCAGAGCCGCGAGCCUCUGACACCCCAGGUCAGCAGUGUGGGUCUCCAAAGGAGAGAUGAACUUUACCUAGGGGCCAGCCAAGCCCUCCUCAACAAUUAUCCUGGACGUGCCAACAAUCUCUUACUGAGGAUUCCUUACAAGAAGUGGUCUGAUCAAAGAAGUCCUGCCACUUGUGUUUGCUCUCCAUUCUACCUACUAUCAAAGCUCUCCGAGGGGAGGAACACUUACUAGAACCCCUCACUGUCCUCUACCGAUUUUCCACACCUCUCUUCCCAGGGCAGGGUCUUCUGGAUUCUGAAGAAAACAAUUGGGUCAAGGAAUUUGCCCCUCACCAGACUCAAUUUAAUUCAGUACAACAAACAUUUGUUGAGUACCUGCUGUGUGCUCAUUGAGUUACAGUAGAGGCAAACAGUUGUUUGGAGGUAAAUGAUCAGUUUCAUUUCCAACCUCUGAUUUCAGUGUCAAUGUCUCUAGUAGUGUGAUUUAAAUAGGAAAGAGGUGGGAAGGCAAAGACCAGUUUCACUGCACUCAGAGCAAAGAGCUGUACAGUAGAUGUGACUUACAGCUAUUUGAAAAGGACUGGUGAAGAACUGAGUAUAAGCACUGAACAGGGAGUCACUAAGAACUCUGUUUUACAGAAGCAUUUACAGUCCGUCUCACAUCAAAUUCACAUCAAAAUUCUGGGUAAAUUUUGAUCUGUACCACUAUCUUCAGUCAGGGUUUUCCAAGAAAACCAUCUUCAAGUUCAUAGAGCAGAAGUUAGAUUUGAAUUUGCAUUAAUGUGUAUUUUUCAUGGACAAUUUAUGCAAUUAUAUGUAAUCAGAUGUCAUUGAAAAUAUGGUUGGACUGGGCAGGC
Molecule: long non-coding RNA, 1441 nt
Organism: Diceros bicornis minor
Lineage: Eukaryota; Metazoa; Chordata; Mammalia; Perissodactyla; Rhinocerotidae
Exons: 3
Source: RefSeq, a predicted model, not a curated record